CUGGGGAGGCCUCAGUGUCUCCUCUCCUUCGGGAGAACGGAAGGACGCCUGCGGCCUACGUGGAUUCUUUAUUACUGAAACACCCGGGAAGCCCCAAAUUUUAAGAUGAACCUACUGCAAAAAUGAGAGCCUGCUACAUUCUAUUUUAAAGUCACUUAGGCAUGUCCGACUCUGCGACCCCAUGGACUGCAGCACGCCAGGCUUCGCUAUC
Bubalus bubalis (water buffalo) is the source of this 211-nucleotide long non-coding RNA. RefSeq lists it as uncharacterized. The transcript has 3 exons. The record is from RefSeq and is a predicted model, not a curated record. NCBI's taxonomy places the organism in Eukaryota, Metazoa, Chordata, Mammalia, Artiodactyla, Bovidae.